RNAcentral lists this ribosomal RNA (1017 nucleotides) under uncultured bacterium. RNAcentral's name for it is "bacterial SSU rRNA". It matches the Rfam family "Bacterial small subunit ribosomal RNA", at positions 345 to 1387 of the family's 1533-position model. The record is from RNAcentral.
GAGGCAGCAGUGGGGAAUAUUGCACAAUGGGGGAAACCUUGAUGCAGCGACGCCGCGUGGAGGAAGAAGGUCUUCGGAUUGUAAACUCCUGUUGUUGGGGAAGAUAAUGACGGUACCCAACAAGGAAGUGACGGCUAACUACGUGCCAGCAGCCGCGGUAAAACGUAGGUCACAAGCGUUGUCCGGAAUUACUGGGUGUAAAGGGAGCGCAGGCGGGAAGACAAGUUGGAAGUGAAAUCUAUGGGCUCAACCCAUAAACUGCUUUCAAAACUGUUUUUCUUGAGUAGUGCAGAGGUAGGCGGAAUUCCCGGUGUAGCGGUGGAAUGCGUAGAUAUCGGGAGGAACACCAGUGGCGAAGGCGGCCUACUGGGCACCAACUGACGCUGAGGCUCGAAAGUGUGGGUAGCAAACAGGAUUAGAUACCCUGGUAGUCCACACCGUAAACGAUGAUUACUAGGUGUUGGAGGAUUGACCCCUUCAGUGCCGCAGUUAACACAAUAAGUAAUCCACCUGGGGAGUACGACCGCAAGGUUGAAACUCAAAGGAAUUGACGGGGGCCCGCACAAGCAGUGGAGUAUGUGGUUUAAUUCGACGCAACGCGAAGAACCUUACCAAGUCUUGACAUCCCUUGACAGACAUAGAAAUAUGUAAUCUCUUCGGAGCAAGGAGACAGGUGGUGCAUGGUUGUCGUCAGCUCGUGUCGUGAGAUGUUGGGUUAAGUCCCGCAACGAGCGCAACCCUUAUGGUCAGUUACUACGCAAGAGGACUCUGGCCAGACUGCCGUUGACAGAACGGAGGAAGGUGGGGAUGACGUCAAAUCAUCAUGCCCUUUAUGACUUGGGCUACACACGUACUACAAUGGCGUUAAACAAAGAGAAGCAAGACCGCGAGGUGGAGCAAAACUCAGAAACAACGUCCCAGUUCGGACUGCAGGCUGCAACUCGCCUGCACGAAGUCGGAAUUGCUAGUAAUCGUGGAUCAGCAUGCCACGGUGAAUAAGUUCCCGGGCCUUGCACA